This 1503-nucleotide ribosomal RNA is filed under the name wastewater metagenome. RNAcentral describes it as "bacterial LSU rRNA". It matches the Rfam family "Bacterial large subunit ribosomal RNA", at positions 648 to 2003 of the family's 2925-position model. The record is from RNAcentral.
AAGGUGUAGAGCACCGCAGCCGUAGGGAAACCGAGUCUCAAAUGGGCGAUUUGAGUAGCAUAUAGCAGACCCGAAACCGGGUGAUCUAUCCAUGGCCAGGUUGAAGCGACGGUAAGACGUCGUGGAGGACCGAACCCACUUAGGUUGAAAACUGAGGGGAUGAGCUGUGGGUAGGGGUGAAAGGCCAAUCAAACUCCGUGAUAGCUGGUUCUCCCCGAAAUGCAUUUAGGUGCAGCGUCACGUGUUUCUUACCGGAGGUAGAGCUACUGGAUAGCCGAUGGGCCCCACCAGGUUACUGACGUUAGCCAAACUCCGAAUGCCGGUAAGUGAGAGCGUGGCAGUGAGACUGCGGGGGAUAAGCUCCGUAGUCGAGAGGGAAACAGCCCAGACCACCAGCUAAGGUCCCUAAGCGUGUGCUAAGUGGGAAAGGAUGUGGAGUUGCAUUGACAACCAGGAGGUUGGCUUAGAAGCAGCCACCCUUUAAAGAGUGCGUAAUAGCUCACUGGUCAAGUGAUUCCGCGCCGACAAUGUAGCGGGGCUCAAGCACACCACCGAAGCUGUGGCAUUGACACAUUGCCCGGCCGUGAUGUCUGAGGACUCACGGUCCAAGCGUGUUGAUGGGUAGGGGAGCGUCGUGUGGCCAGGGAAGCGGCGGAGUGAUCCAGCCGUGGAGGCCACACGAGUGAGAAUGCAGGCAUGAGUAGCGAAAGACGGGUGAGAAACCCGUCCGCCGAAUAUCCAAGGGUUCCAGGGUCAAGCUAAUCUGCCCUGGGUAAGUCGGGACCUAAGGCGAGGCCGACAGGCGUAGUCGAUGGACAUCCGGUUGAUAUUCCGGAACCGGCGAAGAACCGCCCAUACCGAACCACGUAAUGCUAAGCGCCUGAAGUGUGGCACCGUCUUCGGAUGGUUCCUCAUGGAGCGCGCGACCCUAGCGAGUAGUAGGUAAGCAAUGGAGAGACGCAGGAAGGUAGCCGAACCGCGGCGAUGGUUGUUCCGCGGGUAAGGGUGUAGGGCGAGGUGUAGGCAAAUCCGCACCUCAUGUGCCUGAGACCUGACACGGACCCGUAAGGGGAAGUCGGUGAUCCUAUGCUGCCAAGAAAAUCUUCUAGCGAGGUUCUAGCCGCCCGUACCCCAAACCGACUCAGGUGGUUAGGUAGAGAAUACCAAGGCGAUCGAGUGAAUCGUGGUUAAGGAAUUCGGCAAAAUACCCCCGUAACUUCGGGAGAAGGGGGGCCCAGAGGGUGACGGGACUUGCUCCCCGAGCCUGAACGGCCGCAGAGACCAGGGAGAAGCGACUGUUUACUAAAAACACAGGUCCGUGCCAAGUCGCAAGACGAUGUAUACGGACUGACGCCUGCCCGGUGCUGGAAGGUUAAGAGGACGGGUUAGAUCUUCGGGUCGAAGCUCAGAAUUUAAGCCCCAGUAAACGGCGGUGGUAACUAUAACCAUCCUAAGGUAGCGAAAUUCCUUGUCGGGUAAGUUCCGACCUGCACGAAUGGCGUA